Molecule: ribosomal RNA, 162 nt
Filed under: Palicourea acuminata
Lineage: Eukaryota; Viridiplantae; Streptophyta; Magnoliopsida; Gentianales; Rubiaceae
Also listed under: 1 other name
Description: 5.8S ribosomal RNA
Rfam family: 5.8S ribosomal RNA
About the family: 5.8S ribosomal RNA (5.8S rRNA) is a component of the large subunit of the eukaryotic ribosome. It is transcribed by RNA polymerase I as part of the 45S precursor that also contains 18S and 28S rRNA.
Source: RNAcentral
AAUGACUCUCGGCAACGGAUAUCUCGGCUCUCGCAUCGAUGAAGAACGUAGCGAAAUACGAUACUUGGUGUGAAUUGCAGAAUCCCGUGAACCAUCAAGUUUUUGAACGCAAGUUGCGCCCGAAGCCAUUAGGCUAAGGGCACGUCUGCCUGGGCGUCACGC